RNAcentral lists this ribosomal RNA (387 nucleotides) under uncultured bacterium. RNAcentral's name for it is "bacterial SSU rRNA". It matches the Rfam family "Bacterial small subunit ribosomal RNA", at positions 30 to 417 of the family's 1533-position model. The record is from RNAcentral.
AUUGAACGCUGGCGGCAUGCCUUACACAUGCAAGUCGAACGGCAGCACGGGGGCAACCCUGGUGGCGAGUGGCGAACGGGUGAGUAAAGCAUCGGAACGUACCCGGAAGUGGGGGAUAACGUAGCGAAAGUUACGCUAAUACCGCAUAUUCUGUGAGCAGGAAAGAGGGGGAUCGCAAGACCUCUCGCUUUCGGAGCGGCCGAUGUCGGAUUAGCUAGUUGGUGGGGUAAAGGCCUACCAAGGCGACGAUCCGUAGCUGGUCUUAGAGGAUGAUCAGCCACACUGGGACUGAGACACGGCCCAGACUCCUACGGGAGGCAGCAGUGGGGAAUUUUGGACAAUGGGGGCAACCCUGAUCCAGCCAUGCCGCGUGAGUGAAGAAGGCCU